GGUAAAGACCCGGCGUCACUCCCGGAUUCGCCAUCCGGACCCCGGGCUCGGGGCGCGCCGGGACGCCUUUGUUCCAGGUGGCGAGGUAUCUUCCCCUUGCCGCGGGCCCGCUUUGCCCUCGCCUGCUGGGGAAGAGUGGAGGGGUUGGGGUUUAGGGGCUCGGCCCCUCACGGACAGCAGGGUGGGUUAACCGCCCCCCAAAAGCCUGGGUGGCUUGAGAAGGGCUGGCGGUAACACCUAAGUCUCCGGAAUGGCGGCUGCGUCCGAACCGGGAAGCGGCGUGGUGGGUUGGCGGCGGCCGGGCCAAGUGAGGUCUCCCGGCAGGGGCAAGGCUCCGACCUGGAGGAGAGAGGGAAGGGGACCCCCCUCCCACGCACCGCCUCAAGCUCCCGCGCGAGGCUCUGUCACCCAGCCUGGAGCAAACGAGUCUGUUUACCUUGCGCCUGCAAAAUAUUCAGAUGGAAACAUGUAUUUAUUCAUCGCUUUGCAGAAGGGGACAGCUGAGGAAGGAGAGGCAGAAGCCUAAACAGUUAACACAUUGAGAAAGUGGGAGAAACAAGGUGUCUGAAUUUUUAAUAAUACCCCGGUCUCAUCUUUUUCUUAUGACUGUGUUCCCGUAAAUUUGCUAUCAUUUGGAGAUGGCUGAUGGUAUUCUUUUUAAAAACACAGUGUCAGCUUGGUGGAUUAAAAAUUCCAAGAUGAUUUGUGCAUAAUUGAAUGUUUCCCUGGAGCAAAGAAAUCCUCUUUUUCUGGGGUGGGUGCGGUGUGGGGUCCAGGUCUGGGGUGCGAUGUGCGGCUGUGGGUGCUAGGCGUUGAGGCAGACGCUGGCAAAACGCCUGUUUAUCACCAAUAGCUUUGUCUAAAAAGGUGUGUUUGUCCUGUGCUUGGACCUCCUCUCGUGACCUCUUCUGCUUGGAAAUCCUUUUAUCCAAUUUGUUCUAAGUGUCUUAAGUGAAGUCAAGACCCCUUCAUGUCUCCCCUAAUACGAUAAUGACUAAUUCUUACUGGCAAGGCAGUCCAGAAUUCGCACCAAAAAAAAAAAAAAAAAAAGAAAAA
This 1056-nucleotide long non-coding RNA is filed under the name Macaca fascicularis (crab-eating macaque). RNAcentral's name for it is "lncRNA (ENSMFAG00000047968.1)". Lineage: Eukaryota; Metazoa; Chordata; Mammalia; Primates; Cercopithecidae. The record is from RNAcentral.